This 2259-nucleotide ribosomal RNA is filed under the name Salmonella enterica subsp. enterica. Its description in RNAcentral is "partial 23S ribosomal RNA". It matches the Rfam family "Bacterial large subunit ribosomal RNA", at positions 691 to 2925 of the family's 2925-position model. The record is from RNAcentral. RNAcentral also lists the same sequence under 1 other name. Lineage: Bacteria; Pseudomonadati; Pseudomonadota; Gammaproteobacteria; Enterobacterales; Enterobacteriaceae.
GGCGUUAAGUUGCAGGGUAUAGACCCGAAACCCGGUGAUCUAGCCAUGGGCAGGUUGAAGGUUGGGUAACACUAACUGGAGGACCGAACCGACUAAUGUUGAAAAAUUAGCGGAUGACCUGUGGCUGGGGGUGAAAGGCCAAUCAAACCGGGAGAUAGCUGGUUCUCCCCGAAAGCUAUUUAGGUAGCGCCUCGUGAAUUCAUCUCCGGGGGUAGAGCACUGUUUCGGCUAGGGGGCCAUCCCGGCUUACCAACCCGAUGCAAACUGCGAAUACCGGAGAAUGUUAUCACGGGAGACACACGGCGGGUGCUAACGUCCGUCGUGAAGAGGGAAACAACCCAGACCGCCAGCUAAGGUCCCAAAGUCAUGGUUAAGUGGGAAACGAUGUGGGAAGGCCCAGACAGCCAGGAUGUUGGCUUAGAAGCAGCCAUCAUUUAAAGAAAGCGUAAUAGCUCACUGGUCGAGUCGGCCUGCGCGGAAGAUGUAACGGGGCUAAACCAUGCACCGAAGCUGCGGCAGCGACGCUGAUGCGUUGUUGGGUAGGGGAGCGUUCUGUAAGCCUGCGAAGGUGUGUCGUGAGGCAUGCUGGAGGUAUCAGAAGUGCGAAUGCUGACAUAAGUAACGAUAAAGCGGGUGAAAAGCCCGCUCGCCGGAAGACCAAGGGUUCCUGUCCAACGUUAAUCGGGGCAGGGUGAGUCGACCCCUAAGGCGAGGCCGAAAGGCGUAGUCGAUGGGAAACGGGUUAAUAUUCCCGUACUUGGUGUUACUGCGAAGGGGGGACGGAGAAGGCUAUGUUGGCCGGGCGACGGUUGUCCCGGUUUAAGCGUGUAGGUGUGUGUUCCAGGUAAAUCCGGUUCACUUUAACACUGAGGCGUGAUGACGAGGCACUACGGUGCUGAAGCAACAAAUGCCCUGCUUCCAGGAAAAGCCUCUAAGCAUCAGGUAACAUCAAAUCGUACCCCAAACCGACACAGGUGGUCAGGUAGAGAAUACCAAGGCGCUUGAGAGAACUCGGGUGAAGGAACUAGGCAAAAUGGUGCCGUAACUUCGGGAGAAGGCACGCUGACACGUAGGUGAAGUGAUUUACUCAUGGAGCUGAAGUCAGUCGAAGAUACCAGCUGGCUGCAACUGUUUAUUAAAAACACAGCACUGUGCAAACACGAAAGUGGACGUAUACGGUGUGACGCCUGCCCGGUGCCGGAAGGUUAAUUGAUGGGGUCAGCGCAAGCGAAGCUCCUGAUCGAAGCCCCGGUAAACGGCGGCCGUAACUAUAACGGUCCUAAGGUAGCGAAAUUCCUUGUCGGGUAAGUUCCGACCUGCACGAAUGGCGUAAUGAUGGCCAGGCUGUCUCCACCCGAGACUCAGUGAAAUUGAACUCGCUGUGAAGAUGCAGUGUACCCGCGGCAAGACGGAAAGACCCCGUGAACCUUUACUAUAGCUUGACACUGAACAUUGAGCCUUGAUGUGUAGGAUAGGUGGGAGGCUUUGAAGUGUGGACGCCAGUCUGCAUGGAGCCGGCCUUGAAAUACCACCCUUUAAUGUUUGAUGUUCUAACGUGGACCCGUGAUCCGGGUUGCGGACAGUGUCUGGUGGGUAGUUUGACUGGGGCGGUCUCCUCCUAAAGAGUAACGGAGGAGCACGAAGGUUGGCUAAUCCUGGUCGGACAUCAGGAGGUUAGUGCAAUGGCAUAAGCCAGCUUGACUGCGAGCGUGACGGCGCGAGCAGGUGCGAAAGCAGGUCAUAGUGAUCCGGUGGUUCUGAAUGGAAGGGCCAUCGCUCAACGGAUAAAAGGUACUCCGGGGAUAACAGGCUGAUACCGCCCAAGAGUUCAUAUCGACGGCGGUGUUUGGCACCUCGAUGUCGGCUCAUCACAUCCUGGGGCUGAAGUAGGUCCCAAGGGUAUGGCUGUUCGCCAUUUAAAGUGGUACGCGAGCUGGGUUUAGAACGUCGUGAGACAGUUCGGUCCCUAUCUGCCGUGGGCGCUGGAGAACUGAGGGGGGCUGCUCCUAGUACGAGAGGACCGGAGUGGACGCAUCACUGGUGUUCGGGUUGUCAUGCCAAUGGCACUGCCCGGUAGCUAAAUGCGGAAGAGAUAAGUGCUGAAAGCAUCUAAGCACGAAACUUGCCCCGAGAUGAGUUCUCCCUGAGACUUAGAGUCUCCUGAAGGAACGUUGAAGACGACGACGUUGAUAGGCCGGGUGUGUAAGCGCAGCGAUGCGUUGAGCUAACCGGUACUAAUGAACCGUGAGGCUUAACCUU